Long non-coding RNA from Equus caballus (horse), 4746 nucleotides. Lineage: Eukaryota; Metazoa; Chordata; Mammalia; Perissodactyla; Equidae. The record is from Ensembl.
AAAAAACUGUGAUUUUGAGACUUUUUUCUAGAUUGAGGAAAAUAUGAUUUUGGAAGCAACUUUGGGUUUCUCUUCUCUUUAAUUGUGGGUUUCCUGGAUUAUUAACUUGUUCAAAGGCUCAUUUUCUGUCGGGCAGCUAUGUAAGGGCGCAGAGUUCUUGAGCCUCAGACACUAAAGGCUGACUUCCUCCUGGCUUCCACCUGAUGUGGAAGUGAGGGGUAUGUCACCCGACACGACAGUGGUGGAUGCAGCCAGCCGCUCACGGUGCCCUGCUGCCCCCUGCUGGAAGCUCUUGGGACAAGCUGUGUGGAGACCUGGCUCUUAAGAUUCUGACCCAGUAUGUGAUUCCCUUCUUUCUUUCCUUAGGCGAUUUGGCCAUGGCCCCCUGACCCCCAACACAGACAAUGGAGCUGGGGCUAAAGGUGGCUGGAAGGCUCUCUCAAACCAAGGGGUGAUGCUGCCCGUUCCCGUGUUACCGGACUGUGGCAGCACACAGAUGGGAGCGAGUCUUCUAACGCACGGGGACUCGCCGUUGUGUGGCUGCAGUGGCCCUGCAAGGAGCACCUGGCAGUCUCAGGAGAAUUCUUGUAUCUGUUUGGAAAGAUGACUAGUGAUGUGCUCAUUUGUUCGGAAGAAGAGGAGGGCUUCCAGGUGCAGGUCUCCUGUGUGCUUCUGAGAAGAUGCGCUCAGCUACCAGCAGGGCUCUGUGACUGGCCGAGAGGCGGCAGUGGAGGAAGAAGAUGACAGCUGCUUGGCUGAAACUCAGGAGGAGGUAAGCCUUGGACCUGUGUGUCUGAGGCGCCUGAGGAAUCCUCUGUGGAUCUGUCUAGCCAGCACUGGAGAUGCAGACGUGCAUGCGUGCACCAAGCAGGUUCUGCCCUGUUGGAUGCUGGUCUGGUGCUAAGUGUGCAAACAGUUGUGGCUUUCGGCAUGGCUGUGAAUGGGGCGUCCCGGUCCCUCUCGUUCGGGUCAGCAGGCUGAGGAGGCUUAGUCGCAUCUCUCCCCACCUGACUUCUGUCCCCCCUCAGCUCAGGGGCUCCAGAGUUCUUAGUCGGGACAUGGCUCCAUUCAGACCUUCAGACCCUCAGUGGGAGAUGGUGAAAUGGAGGGAGGAGGAUGAGACGGUUGAGCAGGCGGAGGUGCUAGGAAGGGGGAGCUGUGCCUGAAGAAUCAUCCUCAGCCCGCAGGGCUCCUCUGCUGAGCUUGCAGCUCUGGGACGGUCACUGCCCAGCCAGCCCCAUCUGACAGAGCCGCCUCCAAGAUGGACUGGGUGCUGUGUCACAGUGAGAAGUUCUUCAAAUCCGAUUUAUUUCUCUUAGAGUUCAGUGCCAGGAAGUUCUGGUGCUUCAUUUGUCAUGUAUGUAACCCACCUCCAGUUCUUACUGGGAUCCUUGUCCUCUCCACCGACCCCUGCCCCCAUCCUCGCCCUGCCUCUUCCCUCCACGCGCUUUCUGAUUCUUCUGACAGAUGAUGUCUGUUUUAAGCGACCUCAAACCCUUGUGGCCAAAAGGCAACAUCUAAACUGUAAGUAACCACAGGGUCAUAAGCCCUAGUGACCUUCUAGAUAGGAGUUCUUCACCUUCUUGGGUCGCGACCCUUUUGGGAUUCUGGUGAACGCUACAGACCCCUUGUCAGAAUAAUGCUUAUAAAUGUGUAAGUAGGGAACAUACUAAACUGUGUAUCAGGGUGACUGGUUAUCAUCUUAGUUUGACUUCAGAAACAUGCUGGAAGGCUCACCAGUUAAAGCUUCAUUGGUCCUGGGGCCAGCCCAGAGGCGCAGCAGUUAAGUGCGCACGUUCUGCUUCAGCGGCCCAGGGUUCGCCGGUUCAGAUCCCGGGUGCAGACAUGGCACUGCUUGGCAAGCCAUGCUGUGGUAGGCGUCCCACAUAUAAAGUAGAGGAAGAUGGGCAUGGAUGUUAGCUCAGGGCCAGUCUUCCUCAGCAAAAAAAAAGAGGAGGAUUGGCAGCAGAUGUUAGCUCAGGGCUAAUCUUCCUCAAAAAAAAAAAAAGAAAAAAAAGCUUCAUUGGUCCUACCAGCAUGGAAUAUCAACCCCUGAGACUAACACAGCCUCUGCUCAUCUGACCCUCACCAUAGGCCCACAUGAUAUUCAGGGAAGGUAUGUCCCCAUUUAUAAAGGAGGAAAUUGAGGUCAGUCCCACCUGGAGUGAGAGUUGGCCAGUGAGACCCCAGCUCGAGGAUCUCUUCCCUAGUUUGCUCUUUCCUCUGCAUUGCACCUUCUGCUGGAAAAAGCACAGCUGUGUUUUCUUAUCCCAGAACUCUGCAGUGUGAUUAGGGAGUCAUCUGAGUUUCUGACUUGGAGGCACACAUCUCUGCUGAAAUAAAAUGAAGUACCUCUAUGUGCAGACUAAGAAAUUACUAAAUGCCCCCCUUCCUCUUCUUUGUAGCUUUUUCUCUCGUCUUCAUCAUAGGAGCAAUCUCUGGUACAUGCACGUUAACCAAAACUCCAGGUGCAGUUCAAGGAAUCUUCCUAUUUUAAAAAAUGAGGGAAGAUGACAACUGACACAAAUUUCUUGGCUCCUGGCACAAAAAUUCAGUACUUUAAAGACUCCUUUCUGUGAAGGUGACACAAGGGGUGGCCUAGGCACUGCCUCAUGGCUUGUUUCCCUGCCAGUUCAGCUAGCCCUACAACAAGGGGAUAUUCGUAUGAGCUGACAUGUGCUGAUUGGCAAACUCAUGUCCUGGCCCAUGACCAUAAAACAAUAUUAACAAAUCUACACUGAACGAAACACACGGUCAACAGAGAGUUUUGUGGGUCUUCCCUGUGUGAGCAUCUGCACGUGGGUGGAGGAGCUGGGCAGAGGCUCCAGGAGGGCCAGGCCAGGCCGGGGCUGCUUGGCUCUCCUGCCUACCCAGCACCGUCUCAGAGGACAUGAGGACUGCAGGCUUGAUCUGAGGGAGGAGACAUCCCCUACUGGACGGACCUGAAGUUUAAAAGGGGAAGAAGGCACGGAAGUGAGGAAGAGAAUGCACACAAGAACCAAGCCGUUGUUUCUUCAAGAGAGAUCACUGAAGGCAGCCAGAAGUGAAGACUGGAAAGGCUGAGGGAAGGCUGAUUCUUGGUGGAAUGGUGGUUGUCUUCCUGGUAACCAGAGCUGGAUCUGGGAGAGCUGCGGCACGCUGUUCAAUGUGUUAGUUUGCGCCUGCUGCAUGACAAACCACCUCGGAAGUCCAUGGCAUACAAGCAGCAGCAUACGUUAUCACGCUCACAGUCGUACAGACCAGCUGGGGCACCUGUGCAUCAGGCUGCGGAAGGCUGGGGUGUGCUCUGCUCUACUUUCCUUUAUUCUUCUGGGACCUGUGAGCUAACUUGGGCAUGUUCUUCUCAUGGGAGUGGCAGAAAUGAAAGAGGGGUGAGCAGAAACUCAGUGAGCAGCUCAGAACUGGUACCCCGUCACCUCCACCCACAUUCCAUCGGCCAAAGCAAUUCCAUGGCCAAGCCCAAUAACAGUAGACUGUGGACAUAUUCUCCACCUUGCAUGGAAGGAACUGCUGAGUCACUUGGCAACGUGUAUGGAUUCAGGGAGGAGUCGAUGGGGACAAUGAUAGAACUGCUACUCCAGUUUGGGCACUUUCUAUUGAAUCCUGGUAGCCAUGGAAGACUGCAUCUCUUGAGUUGCUACUGAUAGGAAGGAAAGACUGGCUGAUGUCUCUUAAUGAUAGUAUGGAAAUCCUUUUGAAAGUUUAGUUUAGAAACUAAGUUUCAUAAUGACCAGGACAAUGUACGUCUAGUUCACCUCCUGUGUUCAGUAAACACUUCUUGAUCCAAUGAUUAAAUGGUGAAAGAAUAUUAUAUGUGUAGCUACGUAUCUGUAAAUAGAUAUAGGGUAAAAAAGUGGAAUUUAUCUACCCAUAUAGAAUGUGAGUAAAGAGUUUAAUAACAAAAAUACCAAAUUGGAGUCAAGAGACAGGGAUUCCAGUCCUUACUCUGCUUGUCAUUACUUCUGACACCUUGUGAAAAUCAUUUCUCAAUGGGCCUCAGUUUCUUCAUCUGUGAAAUGGGAUGACUGAUUAGAUGAUCUCUAAGGGGCUGAUCAAUUUCAGUUUGCUAAGAUUCUGAGCUAUAGUCACCACUUCAUUUGAUGACAGACCCCACGUCUAUCGGCUAGAUACACCUGCUCUACCUCUGCACGCCCAGCCUCCACCUGACCAGUCCUUUAAAAGGCUCAUGCCUGGACCAUCUCACUCACCCACGUGGACGUGAGGUGAGGCACUGAAGUGCCCAUGAACAGGCUGCAGGGGGGCUAACACACACAGUCAGGCUGCCUCAACCCGAGAGGGGGUCAUACGGCUGGGCUCAGGAUAAUUGGUUCUGACAGUCCUCUCUCCUCAGAGCCUGGGAAUGUCACUGUCUCCAAGCUCCCAGUGCUACAGAUGACAGUCUGCUACUAGCCUGGUUCCUUUUACUUUCCAAGUAUUUAUUCUUCUGGAUGCUUGUAACAGUUUUUAUCCUUGAAAUUCAAUACUUUGUAUAGGCUAUGCCUAGGUGUAUGCCUUUGCCCGUAACUCCAGCUAGAAUUUAGUGGACCCUUCUAAUCUGCAGACUCUUUUCCCAAACUGUGGAAAUUUUCCUCAAUUACUUCUAUAAUUAUUUCCCCUCCUCCCAUGAUGUUGCCUUCUCCUUAUAUUCACAGAUUUGAGUCUGAGCCUCUCCUCUACUCCAUUAUUUCCAGUUCUUUGACCCUUUGUGUAAAAUUUGAUGAUUUCUUCCACUUGAUCUCCCAGCCC